RNAcentral lists this ribosomal RNA (510 nucleotides) under uncultured bacterium. RNAcentral describes it as "partial 16S ribosomal RNA". It matches the Rfam family "Bacterial small subunit ribosomal RNA", at positions 28 to 507 of the family's 1533-position model. The record is from RNAcentral.
GACGAACGCUGGCGGCGUGCUUAACACAUGCAAGUCGAACGAAGAGCGAUGGAAGCUUGCUUCUAUCAAUCUUAGUGGCGAACGGGUGAGUAACGCGUAAUCAACCUGCCCUUCAGAGGGGGACAACAGUUGGAAACGACUGCUAAUACCGCAUACGAUCUAAUCUCGGCAUCGAGGAUAGCUGAAAGGUGGCCUCUACAUGUAAGCUAUCACUGAAGGAGGGGAUUGCGUCGGAUUAGCUAGUUGGAGGGGUAACGGCCCACCAAGGCGAUGAUCAGUAGCCGGUCUGAGAGGAUGAACGGCCACAUUGGGACUGGGACACGGCCCAGACUCCUACGGGAGGCAGCAGUGGGGAAUCUUCCGCAAUGGACGAAAGUCUGACGGAGCAACGCCGCGGGAGUGAUGACGGCCUUCGGGUUGUAAAGCUCUGUUAAUCGGGACGAAAGGCCUUCUUGCGAAUAGUGAGAAGGAUUGACGGUACCGGAAGAGAAAGCCACGGCUAACUACGUG